CCCUUAGAUGUUCUGGGCCGCACACGCGCUACACUGAAGGAGGCAGCGUGUACUCCUGGAUCGAAAGAUUUGGGUAACCCGCGAAUCUCCUUCGUGCUAGGGAUUGAGGUUUGCAAUUAUCCUUCAUGAACGAGGAAUUCCCAGUAAGUGCAAGUCAUAAGCUUGCGCUGACUACGUCCCUGCCCUUUGUACACACUGCCCGUCGCUACUACCGAUUGAAUGAUUUAGUGAGGACUUCGGACUGGGACCGAUGCGGCUUUCGGGCUGCGUCGGUAUUCUGGAAAGAUGUCCAAACUGUAUCAUUUAGAGGAAGUAAAANUCGUANCA
RNAcentral lists this ribosomal RNA (327 nucleotides) under uncultured eukaryote. Its description in RNAcentral is "partial 18S ribosomal RNA". It matches the Rfam family "Eukaryotic small subunit ribosomal RNA", at positions 1470 to 1796 of the family's 1831-position model. The record is from RNAcentral.